AGUGAACGCUGGCGGCAGGCCUAACACAUGCAAGUCGAACGGCAGCACAGAGGAGCUUGCUCCUUGGGUGGCGAGUGGCGGACGGGUGAGGAAUACAUCGGAAUCUGCCUAUUUGUGGGGGAUAACGUAGGGAAACUUACGCUAAUACCGCAUACGACCUACGGGUGAAAGCGGAGGACCUUCGGGCUUCGCGCAGAUAGAUGAGCCGAUGUCGGAUUAGCUAGUUGGCGGGGUAAAGGCCCACCAAGGCGACGAUCCGUAGCUGGUCUGAGAGGAUGAUCAGCCACACUGGAACUGAGACACGGUCCAGACUCCUACGGGAGGCAGCAGUGGGGAAUAUUGGACAAUGGGCGCAAGCCUGAUCCAGCCAUGCCGCGUGGGUGAAGAAGGCCUUCGGGUUGUAAAGCCCUUUUGUUGGGAAAGAAAAGCAGUCGGUUAAUACCCGAUUGUUCUGACGGUACCCAAAGAAUAAGCACCGGCUAACUUCGUGCCAGCCGCCGCAGUAA
RNAcentral lists this ribosomal RNA (506 nucleotides) under uncultured bacterium. RNAcentral's name for it is "partial 16S ribosomal RNA". It matches the Rfam family "Bacterial small subunit ribosomal RNA", at positions 29 to 523 of the family's 1533-position model. The record is from RNAcentral.